Molecule: ribosomal RNA, 120 nt
Filed under: Enterobacter cloacae
Lineage: Bacteria; Pseudomonadati; Pseudomonadota; Gammaproteobacteria; Enterobacterales; Enterobacteriaceae
Also listed under: 7 other names
Source: RNAcentral
UGCCUGGCGGCUUUAGCGCGGUGGUCCCACCUGACCCCAUGCCGAACUCAGAAGUGAAACGCCGUAGCGCCGAUGGUAGUGUGGGGUCUCCCCAUGUGAGAGUAGGGAACUGCCAGGCAU